UACGUAGGGUGCGAGCGUUAAUCGGAAUUACUGGGCGUAAAGCGUGCGCAGGCGGUUCCAUAAGACAGAUGUGAAAUCCCCGGGCUUAACCUGGGAACUGCGUUUGUGACUGUGGGACUUGAGUGUGGCAGAGGGGGGUUGGAAUUCCACGUGUAGCAGUGAAAUGCGUAGAGAUGUGGGGGAACACCGAUGGCGAAGGCAGCCCCUGGGUCGAACACUGACGCUCAUGCACGAAAGCGUGGGGAGCAAACAGGAUUAGAA
RNAcentral lists this ribosomal RNA (261 nucleotides) under uncultured bacterium. RNAcentral's name for it is "partial 16S ribosomal RNA". It matches the Rfam family "Bacterial small subunit ribosomal RNA", at positions 524 to 783 of the family's 1533-position model. The record is from RNAcentral.